CCCUGGAUUGGACUGCGGCCGAUCAGGCUGUUGGUGAGGUAAUGGCCCACCAAACCUGUAACCGGUACGGGCUCUGAGAGGAGGAGCCCGGAGAUGGGCACUGAGACAAGGGCCCAGGCCCUAUGGGGCGCAGCAGGCGCGAAACCUCUGCAAUAGGCGAAAGCCUGACAGGGUUACUCUGAGUGAUUUCCGUUAAGGAGAUCUUUUGGCACCUCUAAAAAUGGUGCAGAAUAAGGGGUGGGCAAGUCUGGUGUCAGCCGCCGCGGUAAUACCAGCACCCCGAGUGGUCGGGACGUUUAUUGGGCCUAAAGCAUCCGUAGCCGGUUCUACAAGUCUUCCGUUAAAUCCACCUGCUUAACAGAUGGGCUGCGGAAGAUACUAUGGAGCUAGGAGGCGGGAGAGGCAAGCGGUACUCGAUGGGUAGGGGUAAAAUCCGUUGAUCCAUUGAAGACCACCAGUGGCGAAGGCGGCUUGCCAGAACGCGCUCGACGGUGAGGGAUGAAAGCUGGGGGAGCAAACCGGAUUAGAUACCCGGGUAGUCCCAGCUGUAAACGAU
Molecule: ribosomal RNA, 556 nt
Filed under: uncultured archaeon
Lineage: Archaea
Description: bacterial SSU rRNA
Rfam family: Archaeal small subunit ribosomal RNA
Source: RNAcentral